GACGAACGCUGGCGGCGUGCUUAACACAUGCAAGUCGAACGGAAAGGCCUCUUUCGGGGGGUACUCGAGUGGCGAACGGGUGAGUAACACGUGAGUAACCUGCCCUUGACUUUGGGAUAACUUCAGGAAACUGGGGCUAAUACCGGAUAGGAGCUCCUGCUGCAUGGUGGGGGUUGGAAAGUUUCGGCGGUUGGGGAUGGACUCGCGGCUUAUCAGCUUGUUGGUGGGGUAGUGGCUUACCAAGGCUUUGACGGGUAGCCGGCCUGAGAGGGUGACCGGCCACAUUGGGACUGAGAUACGGCCCAGACUCCUACGGGAGGCAGCAGUGGGGAAGAUUGCACAAGGGGUGGAAGCCUGAUGCAGCAACGCCGUGUGCGGGAUGACGGCCUUCGGGUUGGAAACCGCUUUCGCUCAUGACGAAGCUUUGUGUGACGGUAGUGGGUAAAGAAGCACCGGCUAACUACGUG
This 467-nucleotide ribosomal RNA is filed under the name uncultured bacterium. Its description in RNAcentral is "partial 16S ribosomal RNA". It matches the Rfam family "Bacterial small subunit ribosomal RNA", at positions 28 to 507 of the family's 1533-position model. The record is from RNAcentral.